UUUCCUUCCACGGGAUUAGUUUCGUUUUGUUCUAUUAUUUUCAAAUGCCUAUGUAUAGCUAUUUGCUCCUUAUGGCUGGCAUAAUACAUUCGACAUCUUUUUCGGCUUAGUUCUCUUUGAUUUUGCAUUUGUUUAGGGUGAUUGGUGGUUCCUUGAGUGCUGGAGUCAGCCAUAUUUUUGAAGUAUUCAUCAGGAAAAGCAUAAACAUCAUAGCAUAUUGGUCCAAAGGGAGUCUUCUAACGAAGAAUUUAAAUUAUAUACAUUAAGUUUAUAUUUUUUUAGUUUUAAAGUUUAAAACAUUCAUAAUUGAUUGUCAUUUUUUAAGCUUAAUAGAUUUGAAACUGAUCGGUACGUAAAAAUAAGAUAGAAACUUGCAAUAAUCUAGAGUAUAUCAUAAAAGAUCAGCAUGCUUACUGAAAAGCAAUGAAAAAAGGAACUCAAAGAUGCGUAGUUUACAAGGAUAUAAAGGGGACAACUCAAGCAAGAGAUAUUUAACAAGAAUUUGGGAAGAAAAUUGAAUGUGUAUGAAUGUGAAGCAAGAUCAGAGACAAGAAGGUUAUGAGACAAAGCUCAUUGAAGCUGUUUGGAUUCUUUUGCUCCGAUAGAAUAUGGCAUUGUAAAUCAUAGGGCUUGGAAACCAUGAGGUUCGAGAUGCUUCCAUGUGGGUUAAAUUUACCACACGCAUCCAUGUUCCACGGCAACUACAACUUCAUGAAAAUGGAGGAAAAUGACAACUGCAACUUUACGACAAUGGAGAGAAUGAUGACCAACUAUAUUAUCGAUGUGAGACACUCUUUUAAUGGGGCAUUUCCCACCUGGAAAAUCCUAUCGGCUAAUUAGUAAAUAAAUGAUAAAACAUUUAUUGGUCAGCUCUAGAACUUAAAAGAGGAUCCCAUGUAUUCGAUUUGUGAGUUAACAACAAUUGGUCAGUUUUAAAUUGUGAAAAAACCACACUCAAACCAUUUAUCACAUACAAUUAAUGAAAAAGAAUCAAUUAGUAAAUAUUUAUAACUUAAAAGAUCACACAAUCUUUUAUCAUUUAUACAAAUGAUGAAAAAAUAAGUCUAUGUAAAAAUGAUAGCAAGAUUUCAAAAAUAGAUAAUCAAGAUAAAAGGUAAUUUCCAAGUGUGACCAUCACAAAUUGGCAUUCAUGACUCAUUAUUUUACAAUGCACAAGCAUAGACACACACACAUGCACACAUAAACGCACAAACACACACACAUAUUUUGGUAUUAGGAAGAUUUAUUGUCUAUUAUAUUAUGUAGGGGUAAAUUACAUUUUCAUUCUAUUUACAAAUGUAUGCUGACUCUAUUUACAACUAUAUGAUGCCUUUAAGCCUCAACACUUGCAUCAGGGGGAUUUAUUUUCUUCUAUAUUAUAUAGGGGUAAUUAGAUCCUUGACUAUAUUUACAAUUGUGUGCUCGCUUUAAGGCUGGGGGCUCAUAUCAGUACACAUUUCUUUGAUUAUCUCAAGAUGUAUAGUGCUCUCCGAGGCAAAAUAUAGCUGCUUUCCCUUGGUGAUGGCAACUUUCAGUUGAUCUUCAUUAUUGUAUGUUUCAUUUCUACAUGUUAGGCUCAAGAGAAAUUGAUUAUAUGUCACAUUUUUUAUUACCCUUGUGGUUCUUUUCUCAGCAUUCUCAUCAAAUUGAAGCAUGUAUAAUAUUUCUGCAAGCAUGCCCAUAAGUUUUGUUGCCCCUUCAUCAAAUUCAAUAGCCCAUAUUGUAUCUAUGUGGUCUUGCAGGUUUGUCUGGAGGAUGUAUCUAUAGUUACACUCAAACAGGGUCAUGUUACACUUAGAACAAUACCAAGUUUCUUCUUUAGUCUCCUCUUAUCGUUUCUUACAUGGUUUUCCAUUUACUUGGGUUGGACAUGCUGGAUAGAAAAAUGACUGAGAUUUUCUCUAUUGUGUCGUUGCCUUUACAAUGCAAUAGAAGGGUUGCACUGAAUUUGAUGCAUGUGCCCAGAUUUCACUGAUCGUCAUUCUUUGAGGGGUGGGAGUAGGUGCAGCAAGUUGAUGCGCAAUUUCUUGUCCAAUGUCAACAUUUUGGUUAACCAAUCUUCAGUUGGGCCAAUUCCUCUAUAGGAGGGUCUAUGAAGAGGCUUGUAUUAAAUUUUGUACCUAUUACCUUUCCAUUGAAUUCACAUACACUGCCAUUCUUGAUAACAAGAAUAGUUGUUUCUUGUAAAUAAUACCUUCAUUGGAGUUCAGUACCUUCUUUUUCUGCCAUUGCACCCCAUAGUGUAGCAUCAAUGGUUCUUCGAGUCAUGUCGACUAACUUAAUGGUAUGCCUAGGAACCUCUGUACCAUCUCUUUUACGUAUCAUUGAGCUUGGAUGACACUAAUGAUGAUUCCAAUGACGUCAAUGGUUGAGUUGUUAUUUUUUUUAUUCACUUGAUCAAGAGUUGUCAAAAUAUAUCAGUGCUUGGGUAUGGAAGAGUCGUCAUUGCAGGUAACAACCUUUGAAUUAGCUACCAAGGUUAUUUCUAGUCCACUGUUGAGUUUGUUGUAAAUUUUACUGGCUGGCUUUAUUGCUCCCCCAGAUAAUGUGUAAAGGUUGAACCAAAUAUCCUGCUCAAACACACAAACCGCAAACCAUUCAAUUCAAUUUAUUUUGUCUGAGCAAACCAUUGAAGGCGGUUGCUAGCAUGUGGCGGCACAGAAUCCAAUCCCACUCCCGCAGUCGCCGAUGUUGCAGCACUUAGGGCUGUCUGCGUAUCCUGUACAGCCGCCAUCGUUAACGCACAGGAAUUUAAAGCAUGGCCCUGCUUGCGCCGAAGCCACGCUAAUAUUGGCCAUUACUAUUAUUGCCAUUAACACCAACAACAAAACUGCAACGCUGCCCAUUUUCAUUUUCAUUGCCAUUUUUCCUUCCUCUUCCGUUUCCCAAAGCUCACCUCAAUCACACAGAUGCAGAUGCUCAUCUAAACUCAGGUAAACAUAACUAAAUAGCAUGGGAAUUCUCUUAUUUUCAUCGCCAACUCGGCCUGCUUUUAUUCUCCAAAACCUUAUGAUUAAUUCUAACCCUUUUGAGGAAAAUUCUGAUGAAAGAGUACAAAGUCAGACCAAAUGAAACUUGCAUCUCAGUUUAAUGUCACUUGGACGGCAGUGCAAUCAGCUACUCAACUGGGUUCCUUGGAAGGUAAAUUUUUUUUUUAUGGAAGAACAAAUAUCUUAUAAAAUUUGUGCAUGUUUAGUAUUUGUUAGACUAUUUAGCUCCAAAGGAGUACACUGAAACUCAUGCUCGGGGUCUCCUCCAACCUCAACAUGGUUGUCCUUGGACAUCAGAACAUAUCCUAAAAUAAAAUUAGCAGCUUAAGUAUAAUGUAUAAAAUUAGCAACUUAAGUAUAAAGUAGGCUGAAGAAGCAAUUACAAUAACAAAAAUUGGAGAGAUAUAAUGUAUGUUGGAUUGGCUUUAUUUAUCUAUUAUUUGACCACAAAUAGAGUGAAUAGAAUACAACUCUCCUCAAAAUUUAAUCACGAUUUCCAAGGUUUUCACUGAUAAUUUUCAGGCCAAAACUUGUGCUCUGCCCUCCCAAAACAAUUCAUUGCUCACACGAAAACCUUCUAUAAAUACAUCUUCUCAGUUCACAGUACCUCCAAUGUCCGUGAUACAGUGAUCAUGAUCACAACACCAUGUUCUCAAAUAAAAUCACUGACUAGGAAAAGGAAAUUAAGAUGUCUAUAUGUUGUCUCUCAAAUAAAAUCAGUGACUAGGAAAAGGAAAUUAAGAUGUCUAUAUGUUGUCUCUCAAAUAAAAUCAGUGACUAGGAAAAGGAAAUUAAGAUGUCUAUAUGUUGUCCCACA
Long non-coding RNA from Cryptomeria japonica (Japanese cedar), 3807 nucleotides. RefSeq lists it as uncharacterized. NCBI's taxonomy places the organism in Eukaryota, Viridiplantae, Streptophyta, Pinopsida, Cupressales, Cupressaceae. The record is from RefSeq and is a predicted model, not a curated record. The transcript is spliced from 2 exons.